Molecule: long non-coding RNA, 2133 nt
Organism: Haemorhous mexicanus (house finch)
Lineage: Eukaryota; Metazoa; Chordata; Aves; Passeriformes; Fringillidae
Exons: 2
Source: RefSeq, a predicted model, not a curated record
UUGUGCUCUUAAGUGUUAAUCCUCUUACCUUUCACCCUUGCAAAACCAGCUAAGAACCAGCAGGAUCUGCUAAGAGCCCAGGAAUGACUGCCAGCAGCUGCACCUCACAGGCACCAGCAGCCUAAGCCAGAUGAUCUCUACUAACCAUUAACAGCAAGAUUACCCAGCUGCUCAGCUCAAAGUGGCAGACUGAUAACCUGGAGACAUCCCUCAGGGAACAUCCAUUUGAUGAUUUCAUUAUGAGGAUAGGAGAUACCUUCCCACAACAGCAGCUUUUGCAGCCAAGGCUCUGCUCCCACUCUGGUCCAGGGAAAUUUGCAUAUGGAGGUCUUUGCCCAUCCUGCUGCAGGCGUUUUACCCCUCUGCCUGAAGUUCUCCUGCAUGACUUCUGGGUCACCCAAAAUCCUCCAAAAGAUUGAUUUUGAUCACCCAAGAAAGGAAGGAGUUGACAAGUCACAGCAAUACUUAUCAAGGGGUAAAUAUCACCCCGGAGUGAAGGGAAAAGAUACAGAAAAUUCCUGAUUUUUUUUACCAGUAACCAAGCAGUUGACUUGGACUAUUAAAUGAGCAAUGUCCACAAAGUGAGUUCAUGCUUUGGAAAGGUUAAUCUAACCCAGUUUCAGCAGGAAUGUUUCCACCAGACUUAUGUUGCAAAUCCCCAUUUGGGGGAUUUAAAACCUUCCCCUGCCGUGUUUAUAAUCCUGAUGUUGCAACACACUACUGAAGCACAAAAGAAAAAUAGGGAAAAAACUGAUUGUAGGUGGGCCAGGGAAAUGUUUUCAUCCAAUUUGAGUAGAAAAUGAAUCAGAAAGGUAAAUGGAAAUAGGAAAAUGAUACAUUACAGUUAACUUUGCCAGUCAGCAUCUCCUGUAGCCCAUAUUUCCUGCCUUGUAGCCACAUGCAAUCAUCCACACUCUUCCAUAGCAGAUAUAUCUUCCUUGCAAGGACACAAUUAGUGCCCAAACCCACACACAAGUUCCCAGUUUGCACUAGCACAAAAGGCUGGAAAUGGUGCUCUCCCAACCUGCUCAGAUGUUCUUCUCACAACACAGGACAUGCAAUACUCAUCUCCCAUUUGAAAAGAUUUUCUACCAGGCAGUUGUAGCAGCUUGAUAAAAAAGUCUCCAGUGGUCAAAAGACAGCAAGAUAAAUUCUGGGGAGAAAUCCAUUGAGGGCUAUUAAACACAGAGAUGUCACCUCUGGCAUUGCAGAUGGCAAAUUGCUGGAGCUUGGGGAGUAUUGACAGGCACUCCAUGCUUGUCUCCCCAGGCCCUCACCAUUAGCUCAGAGUCAGGAAACAAAUUCCAAUUGCACUUCCUUGGGCUGAUGGAUUUUGUGGUCCUGCUCUUUCUGCCUCACCACCCAUGGCUCCUACCAGCUGUUCUCCCUAAAAAUGUUUUACAGCCAGAAAUACAACAAGCAUAGCUGGUGCUUUUUCUGUCUUCUGAAAUGAGUAAAUCCUUAAAGGCAGUUGUGGGUGCUGUGGGGAUUUGUUGCUGGUUGUUGGAGGUGCAGGUGGUCCUCUGUGCUGCACCCCAUGAGAGGACACCAGGAGCUGCCUGUGGAGGAGAAUGCAACCACUCCAGACCUGGAGUUCAUGGAAGUCAUUUUUUCUAAAGGUGUAGUGUUGGAAGAAUACUACUGUAAAAUAGAAUGGCAUUGCAAGAGACGAAAUUCCUUUAGAUUUUCAGAAUUAAUUAACUGCUACUCUUCCAAAGAUGUACUUUCUGUUUUGCUUGUGGAUACCCAACAGCUCCCUUGACACUGAGCCAUUUUAGACUGGGGUUUUACCAAAUCAGAGCAUGGAUUUGCCUAUAUAAAUUAGUGCCUAAUUUAUAUAGGUUUUUGCUGAUACUUACUGGCUGUGACCAUUUCUAGUGCACUUCAGACACAAUAGCAACUCAUACUAUUGAAACUGCUCUUCAAAAUCACUUCAGAAAAUCUUGGACACCUCCCUUGUGGUAGCAGCAGAAACUCUAUUUCAUUGGCCUAUAAAAAAUUGAACUUGAAGGACUAAUCCAACUGCUCUUUCUUCUUAACACUUCCUCUCCAUAUAGCAGUUUUGAUAUAAAAUGUGGUAUAACUUUUACUUAAAAUGUACAUUUUCAGAAUAAAGACAAUUUCAGCACUUAA